GAAAUGCGAUAAGUAAUGUGAAUUGCAGAAUUCAGUGAAUCAUCGAAUCUUUGAACGCACCUUGCGCUCCUUGGUAUUCCUUGGAGCAUGCCUGUUUGAGUAUCAUGAAAUCUUCAAAGUAAAUCUUUUGUUAACUCAAUUGGUUUCUACUUUGGUAUUGGAGGUCUUUGCAGCUUCACACCUGCUCCUCUUUGUUCAUUAGCUGGAUCUCAGUGUUAUGCUUGGUUCCACUCGGCGUGAUAAGUUAUCUAUCGCUGAGGACACUGUAAAAGGUGGCCAAGGUAAAUUCAGAUGAACCGCUUCUAAUAGUCCAUUGACUUGGAAAAUACUUUUAUGAUCUGAUCUCAAAUCAGGUAGGACUACCCGCUGAACUUAAGC
Molecule: unclassified non-coding RNA, 378 nt
Filed under: plant metagenome
Description: partial contains 5.8S ribosomal RNA, internal transcribed spacer 2, and large subunit ribosomal RNA
Rfam family: 5.8S ribosomal RNA (bases 1-105)
Source: RNAcentral